GACGAACCGAGCGAACGUUGUUCGGAAUCACUGGGCUUAAAGGGCGCGUAGGCGGGUGCUCAAGUCCGUGGUGAAAUCCUCCGGCUCAACCGGAGAACUGCCUCGGAUACUGGGCGUCUCGAGUGUGGUAGGGGUAUGCGGAACUAUCGGUGGAGCGGUGAAAUGCGCAGAUAUCGGGAGGAACACCUAUGGCGAAGGCAGCUCGCUGGGACGUUACUGACGCUGAGACGCGAAAGCGUGGGGAGCAAACAGG
RNAcentral lists this ribosomal RNA (253 nucleotides) under uncultured bacterium. RNAcentral's name for it is "partial 16S ribosomal RNA". It matches the Rfam family "Bacterial small subunit ribosomal RNA", at positions 524 to 776 of the family's 1533-position model. The record is from RNAcentral.